UUAAGUUAUUAAGGGCGCACGGUGGAUGCCUUGGCACUAGAAGCCGAUGAAGGACGUUACUAACGACGAUAUGCUUUGGGGAGCUGUAAGUAAGCUUUGAUCCAGAGAUUUCCGAAUGGGGAAACCCAGCAUGAGUAUGUCAUGUUAUCGAUAUGUGAAUACAUAGCAUAUCAGAAGGCACACCCGGAGAACUGAAACAUCUUAGUACCCGGAGGAAGAGAAAGAAAAUUCGAUUCCCUUAGUAGCGGCGAGCGAAACGGGAGAGCCCAAAACCAACAAGCUUGCUUGUUGGGGUUGUAGGACACUCUAUACGGAGUUACAAAGGACGACAUUAGACGAAUCAUCUGGAAAGAUGAAUCAAAGAAGGUAAUAAUCCUGUAGUCGAAAAUGUUGUCUCUCUUGAGUGGAUCCUGAGUACGACGGAGCACGUGAAAUUCCGUCGGAAUCUGGGAGGACCAUCUCCUAAGGCUAAAUACUCUCUAGUGACCGAUAGUGAACCAGUACCGUGAGGGAAAGGUGAAAAGCACCCCGGAAGGGGAGUGAAAUAGAACCUGAAACCGUGUGCUUGCAAGUAGUCAGAGCCCGUUAAUGGGUGAUGGCGUGCCUUUUGUAGAAUGAACCGGCGAGUUACGAUUUGAUGCAAGGUUAAGCAGUAAAUGUGGAGCCGUAGCGAAAGCGAGUCUGAAUAGGGCGUUUAGUAUUUGGUCGUAGACCCGAAACCAGGUGAUCUACCCUUGGUCAGGUUGAAGUUCAGGUAACACUGAAUGGAGGACCGAACCGACUUACGUUGAAAAGUGAGCGGAUGAACUGAGGGUAGCGGAGAAAUUCCAAUCGAACCUGGAGAUAGCUGGUUCUCUCCGAAAUAGCUUUAGGGCUAGCCUCAAGUGAUGAUUAUUGGAGGUAGAGCACUGUUUGGACGAGGGGCCCCUCUCGGGUUACCGAAUUCAGACAAACUCCGAAUGCCAAUUAAUUUAACUUGGGAGUCAGAACAUGGGUGAUAAGGUCCAUGUUCGAAAGGGAAACAGCCCAGACCACCAGCUAAGGUCCCAAAAUAUAUGUUAAGUGGAAAAGGAUGUGGCGUUGCCCAGACAACUAGGAUGUUGGCUUAGAAGCAGCCAUCAUUUAAAGAGUGCGUAAUAGCUCACUAGUCGAGUGACACUGCGCCGAAAAUGUACCGGGGCUAAACAUAUUACCGAAGCUGUGGAUUGUCCUUUGGACAAUGGUAGGAGAGCGUUCUAAGGGCGUUGAAGCAUGAUCGUAAGGACAUGUGGAGCGCUUAGAAGUGAGAAUGCCGGUGUGAGUAGCGAAAGACGGGUGAGAAUCCCGUCCACCGAUUGACUAAGGUUUCCAGAGGAAGGCUCGUCCGCUCUGGGUUAGUCGGGUCCUAAGCUGAGGCCGACAGGCGUAGGCGAUGGAUAACAGGUUGAUAUUCCUGUACCACCUAUAAUCGUUUUAAUCGAUGGGGGGACGCAGUAGGAUAGGCGAAGCGUGCGAUUGGAUUGCACGUCUAAGCAGUAAGGCUGAGUAUUAGGCAAAUCCGGUACUCAUUAAGGCUGAGCUGUGAUGGGGAGAAGACAUUGUGUCUUCGAGUCGUUGAUUUCACACUGCCGAGAAAAGCCUCUAGAUAGAAAAUAGGUGCCCGUACCGCAAACCGACACAGGUAGUCAAGAUGAGAAUUCUAAGGUGAGCGAGCGAACUCUCGUUAAGGAACUCGGCAAAAUGACCCCGUAACUUCGGGAGAAGGGGUGCUCUUUAGGGUUAACGCCCAGAAGAGCCGCAGUGAAUAGGCCCAAGCGACUGUUUAUCAAAAACACAGGUCUCUGCUAAACCGUAAGGUGAUGUAUAGGGGCUGACGCCUGCCCGGUGCUGGAAGGUUAAGAGGAGUGGUUAGCUUCUGCGAAGCUACGAAUCGAAGCCCCAGUAAACGGCGGCCGUAACUAUAACGGUCCUAAGGUAGCGAAAUUCCUUGUCGGGUAAGUUCCGACCCGCACGAAAGGCGUAACGAUUUGGGCACUGUCUCAACGAGAGACUCGGUGAAAUCAUAGUACCUGUGAAGAUGCAGGUUACCCGCGACAGGACGGAAAGACCCCGUGGAGCUUUACUGUAGCCUGAUAUUGAAAUUCGGCACAGCUUGUACAGGAUAGGUAGGAGCCUUUGAAACGUGAGCGCUAGCUUACGUGGAGGCGCUGGUGGGAUACUACCCUAGCUGUGUUGGCUUUCUAACCCGCACCACUUAUCGUGGUGGGAGACAGUGUCAGGCUGGCAGUUUGACUGGGGCGGUCGCCUCCUAAAAGGUAACGGAGGCGCUCAAAGGUUCCCUCAGAAUGGUUGGAAAUCAUUCAUAGAGUGUAAAGGCAUAAGGGAGCUUGACUGCGAGACCUACAAGUCGAGCAGGGUCGAAAGACGGACUUAGUGAUCCGGUGGUUCCGCAUGGAAGGGCCAUCGCUCAACGGAUAAAAGCUACCCCGGGGAUAACAGGCUUAUCUCCCCCAAGAGUUCACAUCGACGGGGAGGUUUGGCACCUCGAUGUCGGCUCAUCGCAUCCUGGGGCUGUAGUCGGUCCCAAGGGUUGGGCUGUUCGCCCAUUAAAGCGGUACGCGAGCUGGGUUCAGAACGUCGUGAGACAGUUCGGUCCCUAUCCGUCGUGGGCGUAGGAAAUUUGAGAGGAGCUGUCCUUAGUACGAGAGGACCGGGAUGGACAUACCUCUGGUGUACCAGUUGUCGUGCCAACGGCAUAGCUGGGUAGCUAUGUGUGGACGGGAUAAGUGCUGAAAGCAUCUAAGCAUGAAGCCCCCCUCAAGAUGAGAUUUCCCAACUUCGGUUAUAAGAUCCCUCAAAGAUGAUGAGGUUAAUAGGUUCGAGGUGGAAGCAUGGUGACAUGUGGAGCUGACGAAUACUAAUCGAUCGAAGACUUAAUCAA
This 2920-nucleotide ribosomal RNA is filed under the name Staphylococcus aureus subsp. aureus CIG1500. RNAcentral's name for it is "bacterial LSU rRNA". It matches the Rfam family "Bacterial large subunit ribosomal RNA". Lineage: Bacteria; Bacillati; Bacillota; Bacilli; Caryophanales; Staphylococcaceae. The record is from RNAcentral.